ACACAUGCAAGUCGAGCGAUGAACAUUCAAUGAUCCCUUCGGGGUGAUUUGGCUGGGAUUAGCGGCGAACGGGUGAGUAACGCGUGAGGAACCUGCCUCUUACAACGGGAUAGCCUCGGGAAACCGGGAUUAAUACCGUAUAAGACUCCGACAUCUCCUGAUGAUGAAGUCAAAGCGUAUGCGGUAAGAGAUGGCCUCGCGUCUGAUUAGUUAGUUGGCGGGGUAACGGCCCACCAAGACGACGAUCAGUAACCGGCCUGAGAGGGUGAACGGUCACAUUGGAACUGAGACACGGUCCAAACUCCUACGGGAGGCAGCAGUGGGGAAUCUUGCACAAUGGGGGCAACCCUGAUGCAGCGACGCCGCGUGAGCGAUGAAGGUUUUCGAAUCGUAAAGCUCUGUCCUAUGGGAAGAUAAUGACGGUACCAUAGGAGGAAGCCCCGGCUAACUACGUGCCAGCAGCCGCGGUAAUACGUAGGGGGCGAGCGUUGUCCGGAAUUACUGGGCGUAAAGGGUUCGCAGGCGGCAUGGCAAGUCCGAUGUAAAAGGCGAAGGCUUAACCUUCGUAAGCAUCGGAAACUGUCAAGCUUGAGUGAAGGAGAGGCAAGUGGAAUUCCUAGUGUAGCGGUGGAAUGCGUAGAUAUUAGGAGGAAUACCGGUGGCGAAGGCGACUUGCUGGACUUCAACUGACGCUGAGGAACGAAAGCGUGGGUAGCAAACAGGAUUAGAUACCCUGGUAGUCCACGCCGUAAACGAUGAGUGCUAGGUGUCGGGGGUCAAACCUCGGUGCCGCCGUUAACACAAUAAGCACUCCGCCUGGGGAGUACGUGCGCAAGCAUGAAACUCAAAGGAAUUGACGGG
RNAcentral lists this ribosomal RNA (861 nucleotides) under uncultured bacterium. RNAcentral's name for it is "bacterial SSU rRNA". It matches the Rfam family "Bacterial small subunit ribosomal RNA", at positions 51 to 917 of the family's 1533-position model. The record is from RNAcentral.